Molecule: ribosomal RNA, 1506 nt
Filed under: metagenome
Description: bacterial SSU rRNA
Rfam family: Bacterial small subunit ribosomal RNA
Source: RNAcentral
AGAGUUUGAUCAUGGCUCAGGACGAACGCUGGCGGCGUGCCUAAUACAUGCAAGUAGAACGCUGAAGAGAGGAGCUUGCUCUUCUUGGAUGAGUUGCGAACGGGUGAGUAACGCGUAGGUAACCUGCCUUGUAGCGGGGGAUAACUAUUGGAAACGAUAGCUAAUACCGCAUAACAAUGGAUGACCCAUGUCAUUUAUUUGAAAGGGGCAAAUGCUCCACUACAAGAUGGACCUGCGUUGUAUUAGCUAGUAGGUGAGGUAACGGCUCACCUAGGCGACGAUACAUAGCCGACCUGAGAGGGUGAUCGGCCACACUGGGACUGAGACACGGCCCAGACUCCUACGGGAGGCAGCAGUAGGGAAUCUUCGGCAAUGGGGGCAACCCUGACCGAGCAACGCCGCGUGAGCGAAGAAGGUUUUCGGAUCGUAAAGCUCUGUUGUAAGUCAAGAACGAGUGUGAGAGUGGAAAGUUCACACUGUGACGGUAGCUUACCAGAAAGGGACGGCUAACUACGUGCCAGCAGCCGCGGUAAUACGUAGGUCCCGAGCGUUGUCCGGAUUUAUUGGGCGUAAAGCGAGCGCAGGCGGUUUGAUAAGUCUGAAGUUAAAGGCUGUGGCUCAACCAUAGUUCGCUUUGGAAACUGUCAAACUUGAGUGCAGAAGGGGAGAGUGGAAUUCCAUGUGUAGCGGUGAAAUGCGUAGAUAUAUGGAGGAACACCGGUGGCGAAAGCGGCUCUCUGGUCUGUAACUGACGCUGAGGCUCGAAAGCGUGGGGAGCGAACAGGAUUAGAUACCCUGGUAGUCCACGCCGUAAACGAUGAGUGCUAGGUGUUGGAUCCUUUCCGGGAUUCAGUGCCGCAGCUAACGCAUUAAGCACUCCGCCUGGGGAGUACGACCGCAAGGUUGAAACUCAAAGGAAUUGACGGGGGCCCGCACAAGCGGUGGAGCAUGUGGUUUAAUUCGAAGCAACGCGAAGAACCUUACCAGGUCUUGACAUCCCGAUGCUAUUUCUAGAGAUAGAAAGUUACUUCGGUACAUCGGUGACAGGUGGUGCAUGGUUGUCGUCAGCUCGUGUCGUGAGAUGUUGGGUUAAGUCCCGCAACGAGCGCAACCCCUAUUGUUAGUUGCCAUCAUUCAGUUGGGCACUCUAGCGAGACUGCCGGUAAUAAACCGGAGGAAGGUGGGGAUGACGUCAAAUCAUCAUGCCCCUUAUGACCUGGGCUACACACGUGCUACAAUGGUUGGUACAACGAGUUGCGAGUCGGUGACGGCAAGCUAAUCUCUUAAAGCCAAUCUCAGUUCGGAUUGUAGGCUGCAACUCGCCUACAUGAAGUCGGAAUCGCUAGUAAUCGCGGAUCAGCACGCCGCGGUGAAUACGUUCCCGGGCCUUGUACACACCGCCCGUCACACCACGAGAGUUUGUAACACCCGAAGUCGGUGAGGUAACCUUUUGGAGCCAGCCGCCUAAGGUGGGAUAGAUGAUUGGGGUGAAGUCGUAACAAGGUA